AUGGAACACUGGGAGAGCUGGAAAGGCCGGCUGAGAGAAAGACCCUAUAAUGUCUUUGACCCCUAUCACCUGAUCUGGAUUAUGCCAGCGUAGGAAAGUGUAAGGAUAUUAGG
This 113-nucleotide non-coding RNA is filed under the name Alkaliphilus oremlandii OhILAs. RNAcentral's name for it is "TPP riboswitch aptamer (THI element)". It matches the Rfam family "TPP riboswitch aptamer (THI element)". From Rfam's summary of the family: Vitamin B(1) in its active form thiamin pyrophosphate (TPP) is an essential coenzyme that is synthesised by coupling of pyrimidine and thiazole moieties in bacteria. The record is from Rfam by way of RNAcentral. Lineage: Bacteria; Bacillati; Bacillota; Clostridia; Peptostreptococcales; Natronincolaceae. RNAcentral also lists the same sequence under 1 other name.